RNAcentral lists this ribosomal RNA (633 nucleotides) under uncultured bacterium. Its description in RNAcentral is "partial 16S ribosomal RNA". The stretch from base 1 to 532 matches the Rfam family "Bacterial small subunit ribosomal RNA", at positions 338 to 873 of the family's 1533-position model. The record is from RNAcentral.
CCUACGGGAGGGCAGCAGUGGGGGAAGUCUUGCGCAAUGGGGCGAAAGCCUGACGCAGCCAUGCCGCGUGAAUGAUGAAGGUCUUAGGAUUGUAAAAUUCUUUUCACCGGGGGACGAUAAUGACGGUACCCGGAGAAGAAGCCCCCGGCUAACUUCGUGCCAGCAGCCGCGGUAAUACGAAGGGGGCUAGCGUUGCUCGGAAUUACUGGGCGUAAAGGGAGCGUAGGCGGAUAGUUUAGUCAGAGGUGAAAGCCCAGGGCUCAACCUUGGAAUUGCCUUUGAUACUGGCUAUCUUGAGUAUGGGAGAGGUUAGCGGAACUCCGAGUGUAGAGGUGAAAUUCGUAGAUAUUCGGAAGAACACCAGUGGCGAAGGCGGCUAACUGGCCCAUUACUGACGCUGAGGCUCGAAAGCGUGGGGAGCGAAACAGGAUUUAGAUACCCUGGUAGUCCACGCCGUAAACGAUGAGUGCUAGUUGUCGGCAUGCAUGCAUGUCGGUGACGCGAGCGUAACGUACAUUAAGUACACUCCGCCGUCGGGGUAGGUACGGUCGGCCGAACGAAGUUAAAACGUUAACGAAAGGAAGUUAGGACGGACGUAGAGACGUGACCGACGGACGACGACGAGGGAGGAGG